This 377-nucleotide unclassified non-coding RNA is filed under the name uncultured Acidothermaceae bacterium. Its description in RNAcentral is "contains 16S-23S intergenic spacer region". Lineage: Bacteria; Bacillati; Actinomycetota; Actinomycetes; Acidothermales; Acidothermaceae. The record is from RNAcentral.
UCCGAGUUGACCCCGGCAGUCUCCUAUGAGUCCCCGCCAUUACGCGCUGGCAACAUAGGACGAGGGUUGCGCUCGUUGCGGGACUUAACCCAACAUCUCACGACACGAGCUGACGACAACCAUGCACCACCUGUGUACGACCCUUGCGGACCUGACGUCUCUGCCAGAUUUCCGUACAUGUCAAACCCAGGUAAGGUUCUUCGCGUUGCAUCGAAUUAAGCCACAUGCUCCGCCGCUUGUGCGGGCCCCCGUCAAUUCCUUUGAGUUUUAGCCUUGCGGCCGUACUCCCCAGGCGGGGCGCUUAAUGCGUUAGCUGCGGCACAGAGGACGUGGAAGGUCCCCUACACCUAGCGCCCAACGUUUACGGCGUGGACUAC